UACGUAGGGGGCAAGCGUUGUCCUGAAUCAUUGGGCGAAAAGCGCGUGUAGGCGGCCCGAUAAGUCCGCUGUGAAAGUCCAGGGCUCAACCCUGGGAUGCCGGUGGAUACUGUCGGGCUCGAGUCCGGAAGAGGCGAGUGGAAUUCCUGGUGUAGCGGUGAAAUGCGCAGAUAUCAGGAGGAACACCAAUGGCGAAGGCAGCUCGCUGGGACGUGACUGACGCUGAGGCGCGAAAGCGUGGGGAGCGAACAGG
Molecule: ribosomal RNA, 253 nt
Filed under: uncultured bacterium
Lineage: Bacteria
Description: partial 16S ribosomal RNA
Rfam family: Bacterial small subunit ribosomal RNA
Source: RNAcentral